This is a long non-coding RNA of Bombus terrestris (buff-tailed bumblebee), 4322 nucleotides long. RefSeq lists it as uncharacterized. NCBI's taxonomy places the organism in Eukaryota, Metazoa, Arthropoda, Insecta, Hymenoptera, Apidae. The transcript has 6 exons. The record is from RefSeq and is a predicted model, not a curated record.
GAACUCAAAGAAAAAGUCAGAAUCGUUCGAUGUCAUCGCAUCACGCAAUGCAGCCGAGUGAGUAAUUAGCGCAGAAUAGAAGUUCAAUGGGGUGAUCGACACACCGCGCAAACACGGCCCUGGUUUUGGCCACUCACUUGAGACAUGGACUCUCGGAAGAAAAGAGGAAGAGAGACCGAGCAAAAUGAUCCGAGAGGUUCCGAGGUGUUGGAAAGGCACGAUGAAAGACAUAUGAGGAUUCCAGCGGCGAGAUAGGAUAUGCCUGCCGACUAUGUUACAGCGAAAAUCUUUUGAGGUUCACCUUAUGCGUACUACUCCUCUUUUACUGUAGUUUUUUCGCAGAAUUGACAAGUAUCGAAUAGUGCCGAGAGAAUUCUGUAAAAACAUUGACUCAUUCAUUUAUUUGAAUAACAUUAGUGUAGUUGAUCAUGAUUUUAUGUUAUAUUAAUUGUUAUACAAAAUUUUAUAAAUAGAAUACAUACACACAUAUGUAUAUAUAUAUAUAUAUAUAUAUAUAUAUAUAUAUAUAUAGAUGAAGAUACAUUUCAGCUAUAAAAUAACGAAAGCUCACGAAGUUUAACAUAAAGCUUAAACGAAAGAUUGAGAUUCUUCGAAAGUUUGUGGAGCACGUGGUUCUGUCAACUUCGAACGUAAGAAAGACGUCCCUCUAUUUACGACAUAAGGUAAACUUCUUUUAGGUCUCGCAGUUCACGGUCAGUGUCUGUCUUCGGGUACUUCGCUUGCUUGGACAGUUUUCAUGGCGCUAACAGAUAUGUCCGUCUUUCUUCCUGUUUUCUUCCUACCAUGCAUAUUUCAAUAAAAUUCAUUUUUAUCAAGCAUACGAUUUAGAAAGCAAUGCGUGUGUCGAAAAAAGCGAGGAAAAAUUUGGAACAUUUGCAACAUUUUGGCACGAAGUUAAAUUUACGAUGAAAUCCAAUUUUAAAUCAUAUUUGUUCCAAGUCACCUGUCGUCGUGCAAUUAAGAACGAUGAGUCGACAAGUGGCCGAUUUUAUUGUUGCUAAUAAGACUCGAGCACAAGCUAACGACGAUGCUCGUUACUUUUUCAAUGUCAAUUAUAUCCUGUAUUUGAUGCUUAAUUUUGGUUACCGUACAAUGAAUUUCUUCUUUUAGAUUUUGAAUUCAAAAAUACAUUUUUUUGUAAAUUGAGACUAUAACUUCACUAAUUUUGAGUUGAACAAUAGAAUCACUGUUUUAAUGUAAUAUAUAUAAAAAAAUUGACAAAUUGGUUUGAAGAAGUACAAGAACUGUUAAACCGAGUUUUCAAAAUUUCAAUACUUAAAUAAAACGCGAGUUACAUGGAGCAAAAGAAGGGCGGUGACGACGAAGAAAUUUAAGAAGUAGACAGAGACGAAGGUUGCAGACGUAAAGCAUAAACAGUCGAGGUGCGAUUUGACGCGCACUCGGACCAUCCAAGGCACAUCUCGCUCGCUGAACGUAUGCUUUAAGAAUCCCGAAGAAGCGACCAGCCCGAUGGCUGGAAUCUGUAAAUCUGUCAUUGCAGCCAUAUUCGUGUGGCUGGUACCGCAGGAUAUGAACUUCUGCUCGUCGUAUACGCCACCGUCGUACGAGACACUAGAUCUACACGCUUCUCUUCUUUUGAGAGCUUUGCACCGAAACGGAAACCUCUCCCUAUCUCUCGAAAUAACAAAUGUUCUUUUUGUUUUUCAUAAAAUUGACAAAACCUCUGGGAAAGUAUUUCCUUUUAUUCUCUUUAAGUAUUUCAAGAUCACAAAGAGAGAAUUUUAUAAUUAUAGUUAUUUCUUAUUCGUUAACGUAAGCUUAUUCGUCCCACUUAAUGUAUGAACUAAUCUUCAUUUUUGUCAAAAUAUUAUGAAGAAAGGCUUGAAAACCAAUGAAAGAACUAUGUAUCAAAAAAUUCAACCAUUGUUCAUUCAUCUAUACCUUUCAGGAGCUUUCAUCUUUUUUGUGUUCCAGUGGCUGGUUGAAAGUAAAGCGCAGUUCUUGUUGAAGGUUUAAAAACCGUUUGGUUAUAUCAAACUGCAUGGAAACUAUAAAAGCCCUGGCAGUCGUUGCACGUAUACGCAGUAUUCCCUCUGGUAGCUAGCGAUGACGGAUUCAUAGCCCGUGGGAUAACGCAAGACCUCACCCCAAGAUGUUUCGGUUUACGGAUGCACGCUCUUCCUUGCUUUUUCUUCCUAUUUCUCACCUUUUUUUCUUCUAUCUACUGAGCGAUUCAUUUGUCGGUCUUUGAUCCGAGACCAACAAGCUACUACCGGAAAAUUAGCCAAAUUUAUUAAGCAGUCGCUUUCUCUAGACUGCUAUCUGUCAUUUUAUUCUCCUUAUUUCUAGCGCAACCUGUCGUUUCAUCUUAUACGGGAUAUCAUUCAGUGGAAAGAAUCUUUGUUCAAAGAUACCGUAUUUGGGUGGUCGAAGGAUAAGUGACAAAUUCCAGAUACUUCGUUGGGAGUCUUUUCUUUCUUUUAUAAAGACAGAACGCAAAAUUUAUAUAGAUCCAUGAAUAUUACAAAGUUAAAACAUAUUCAUAGCUAUAUUUAUUAACCGAUGAAUUAUCAUUAUAACGUCGCCGGUGUCCCGCUUAUCGAGAAAGACGUCCUUUCAAGUUUCUGAAAGGUAGAUCUUCGAGAACAGCUGGUUCUCGCGAACAGCGGUGCCACCAGCAGCGCAAUGUCAACUAACCCCGUUAAGGGUUAGGGGUUAACUUCCACAGGACUAGUACCUACGAGGAAGAUGAAAGAAUGAGCGAAGAUAGGCCGACGGCCGCCCCUUUUUAUUACCGGCGCCGUCACGCGUCACCGAUAAGCGCGGUCUCUCUGUAGACGAAAAGUCUAUGCUUGCACCGGUUCUCUCGAAACAUGAGAUUUCAUCUUCCCUUCUUUAUUUCUGCUUUUGCCAUCUCUAGUUGAAAGAAAGUUUCAUUUUUUAUGGACAUGUGUCGAAAACCUUGGAACACUAUCUGCUUCUUUUCGACAAGGAGUAAUAGAAACGUGUUACAUUCUUAACAACUGGCUGAUCAUCUGUUUCUUUAUGUUUUACUCCGGCUAGAAAGAAGCAUUGGGCUAAAAAUUAAAGAAGAAAGAAACUGCAAAGGUUUCUGCUCUUAUUUUUAUUCAUUGCGGAAACAUGUGCGGGUCAUGAAUGACUGCAAAACGUUUUGUGAAUGCACGAGGGAAGAUGUUCACCGAGAGUCAUUAAGGAUACGGUAUAUAAUAUGUUUACACAACGAGGUUCUUCGCGUCGCCAUCAAUCAUGGUGCACGUCGGUCCAUCCGUUUUUCUACGCUUAGGAACCGACAGACUGAGACGCUCAAAUUCUAUGCUACUUCGCUUUGUUGGCAUUAGAUUGUCAUUUCUAACAGUCCCGAUGUCAAGUCGUGUACAUACUACGUUCGUGUGAACGUUUGGUAAAACAAUUCGAGCAAACAUUUGAAAACUUCUUUGACAAAUUUUGAAAAGAGCAGUUCGAGAAAAAAUGUUCACUUAUAUACGCGUCAUUCGACCACAAGGAAAUCACGGGAAAAGGAAUUCGUAAGAGGUUGUGAAAUGGUUAACUUUAAACUCAAGUACUUGGCUUUAGAUUCUCGUUUACUUUAUAGAGUUUCCAUUUUUUCGAAUACGUUGUGUAACAUAAGAAGGCAAGAAAGUUUCGAAACACAAUGGUACACGAUACUUGGAGAAUAAUUUAUUAAGGCACUUAGUAGCCAAGCUCUCUCAUGGGUUGUCACGGUGCGUUUACUUUCCCGUCUUGGCUCGAGAGCGUUUUAGGCUCGUUUGGCAUUUCAGACACCCUGUAUAAAUAGAUGCACUUUGCUCCUACAAAAGGCACUUUCUUUCUCGACCAGUCCGCUACGGACCUACGACACCACCGAUUUGUAUCACGCGAUUUGAUCAUCGUGAACACCAAUGGAACUUUAAUUUUCUCUCUUGUACUUUUGCAAGAUCCUCUAGUAAAUCAUCAUUUUAAUUUCCACCGAAACUUUUAUGAAUUCCCGAGAAAAUAGAGAUCCGAAUUAUCGCGGUCCAUACAAUGAGGGUCCAGUAUGGGGAUGAUGAGGAUGCGCAGGAUAGUGAACCGAAUUCAUGUGUGCAGUUGGUUGUCCAUGGUGUCCAGGAUAAGUCCAAGGUCCUGCUGCGGUCGCACCGUAAAAUUGAUGAUGUUCUUGGCUCGAUAUGCUUGGAAUUUGCACGGUCUCUUUGCAGGAUUCUGUAUGCUUGAAACUGCGACAGAGUCACACUCAUCCGAUUCACAGUCACGAAAACCUUUCGCAAAUGGAUUGCUAGCAAUUUUGAGUUGCGUGAUACGAUGAUUUUGAUAAGCUGUGA